RNAcentral lists this non-coding RNA (184 nucleotides) under Acetonema longum. Lineage: Bacteria; Bacillati; Bacillota; Negativicutes; Acetonemataceae. RNAcentral also lists the same sequence under 1 other name. The record is from RNAcentral.
UUGAAUAGUAAUGAGAUAGGUGCCCGUAAGGGCUUAAUAGGGAAGUCCGGUGUAAUGCCGGCGCGGUCCCGCCACUGUAAUGGGGAGCAAACCCAGAAAAGUGCCACUGAGACUUUGUGUCUUGGGAAGGUGUGGGUGAGCAAAGAACCAGAGCCAGGAGAACUGCCUGUCUAACAGUCACCGU